Non-coding RNA from Macaca mulatta (Rhesus monkey), 1565 nucleotides. The record is from RefSeq and is a predicted model, not a curated record. Lineage: Eukaryota; Metazoa; Chordata; Mammalia; Primates; Cercopithecidae.
AUAUUACCAUGAUUGUGUCUACCAUUCAAACUAAGCUAAACCAUGUUUAGCUUUUUGUAUCCUGAUUACUUUCUAAAAUACAUUUUUUACUUUAAAAUAGUUUUAGAUGGACAGAAAAGUUGCAAAGAUAGCACAGAGUUCCCAUAUACCCCUCAUCCAUUUCCCUUAUUGUUAACAUUUUACAUUACCGUGGUAUAUUUGUCACAACUAGGAAAUCAACAUCAUACUUUAUUUAGAUUUCAUUAGUUUUUCCCGAAUGUCCUUUUACUAUUCCAGAAUCCCAUUUGGGAUACUUAGACUUAGUCAUGUCACCUUAGGCUCCUCUGGGGUGUGACAAUUUCUCAGUCUUUCCUUGUUUUUAAUGACCUCAACAGUUUUGAGGAGUACUGGUCAAGUAUUUUGUAGACUGUCCCUCAAUUUGGGUUUGUCUGAUGUUUUUCUCAUGCUUAGAUUGGACUUCAGGUUUUUAGGAAGACCAGCACAGAACUGAAGUGCACUUCUUUAUCAUGCCAUAUCAGGGGGUAUGUGAUAUCCACAUGGCAUUCCUAAUGAUGUUAACCUUUAUCACUUGGCCAAGGUUGGAUUGCCAAGUUUCACCAAUAUAAAGCUACUUUAUUUUUUUCCCCUCUCCAUACCCUACUCUUUGGAAACUAAGUGUAGCCACACUCAAGCCAGGGGAACAGGGGACUAUGUUCCACCUCCUGGAGAAGGCAAUACCUAAGUAAACUGGAAUAAUUCUGUAAGGAAGAUUUGUUUCUUCUCUCCCAUUUAUUUAUUUAUUCAAAUAAUCCAUCUAUAUCAGCAUCAACUCUUGGGCAUUUAUACUUUGGGUCACAAUAAAAUAAUAUAUCAUUUAUUUGAUUCUUCAAAGUGCUCCAGCUUUGGCCAUUGGGAGGCUCUUUCAUGUUCUUUUGACAUUCCCCCAUCCUUUUGUUGUCUGAGCACUUCCUUACUUGCUGGGACUAUAAACUGUUUCAGGCUUACCUUGUAUUUUCUCUGCCCUAGUCCUAGAAUCAGCCAUUUCUCUAAGGUCCUUUACCUUUUAAAAAUUAAAUAUAGAAUAUUUUUAUAACAAAUAGUCUACCAGAUCAAUCUCAUAUUUGAGAGCUUGCUUUUGGAUCAAAUGUUAAAUUCAAGAUAAAAUACUGAUUAUAUAUUACGUUGCUUAUUCUCAUUUUCUCCUUCUAAUCUAUUCUCUGCCCUUCUCUACCCUGCUGUGAGCCUUGCAGCCUAGUUUCUAUGAACUCCAUCACCUGGGCUACCUGGCCAUCUGGCUCCCCGUUGGGUUUCGCCAAUAGAAAGCACCAGCAAGUGGAGAGCUCCCCUGUCCUUACUGGUCCUUGUCCUCCUGGAGCACGCCUAUUCAUCCAUCAAGAUACAGCUCAAAUACUGCUUCCUCAAUGAGUCCUGCCUUCUUCUCCGACUCUAUGGUUCCAGAGAAUUAGAGAAUGUGCUCCUUAAGAGUAUAACUGCAUCAUAUUCACAUUUAUUUCCCUUUCCAUUAAUAGAUUAUUUGAUAAACUGAUAGUCAAUAUGUAUCUCCAAUAAAUAUACAUUCAAAUUAA